This 693-nucleotide ribosomal RNA is filed under the name uncultured Staphylococcus sp. RNAcentral's name for it is "bacterial SSU rRNA". It matches the Rfam family "Bacterial small subunit ribosomal RNA", at positions 65 to 740 of the family's 1533-position model. Lineage: Bacteria; Bacillati; Bacillota; Bacilli; Caryophanales; Staphylococcaceae. The record is from RNAcentral.
AGCGAACAGACGAGGAGCUUGCUCCUCUGACGUUAGCGGCGGACGGGUGAGUAACACGUGGAUAACCUACCUAUAAGACUGGGAUAACUUCGGGAAACCGGAGCUAAUACCGGAUAAUAUAUUGAACCGCAUGGUUCAAUAGUGAAAGACGGUUUUGCUGUCACUUAUAGAUGGAUCCGCGCCGCAUUAGCUAGUUGGUAAGGUAACGGCUUACCAAGGCGACGAUGCGUAGCCGACCUGAGAGGGUGAUCGGCCACACUGGAACUGAGACACGGUCCAGACUCCUACGGGAGGCAGCAGUAGGGAAUCUUCCGCAAUGGGCGAAAGCCUGACGGAGCAACGCCGCGUGAGUGAUGAAGGUCUUCGGAUCGUAAAACUCUGUUAUUAGGGAAGAACAAAUGUGUAAGUAACUAUGCACGUCUUGACGGUACCUAAUCAGAAAGCCACGGCUAACUACGUGCCAGCAGCCGCGGUAAUACGUAGGUGGCAAGCGUUAUCCGGAAUUAUUGGGCGUAAAGCGCGCGUAGGCGGUUUUUUAAGUCUGAUGUGAAAGCCCACGGCUCAACCGUGGAGGGUCAUUGGAAACUGGAAAACUUGAGUGCAGAAGAGGAAAGUGGAAUUCCAUGUGUAGCGGUGAAAUGCGCAGAGAUAUGGAGGAACACCAGUGGCGAAGGCGACUUUCUGGUCUGUAAC